UGCGCCGUCAUUGGGGAGUAGCCGGUUUCUGGAGAAUAAAAAGCCAGAAACGCCCGUAUCAACAUACUCGUUUCGCCGUAAGAAACGUGGUGCGGGCAGCCAGGUAAGGUUGGCGAGACCAUAGACACGUAACUCCGUCGUUUGGUUGGGGGUGGGUUACGUGUAUAUGGAGCCACCCGGCCGAGGCU
Non-coding RNA from Serratia marcescens subsp. marcescens Db11, 188 nucleotides. Lineage: Bacteria; Pseudomonadati; Pseudomonadota; Gammaproteobacteria; Enterobacterales; Yersiniaceae. The record is from Rfam.